Molecule: ribosomal RNA, 301 nt
Filed under: uncultured bacterium
Lineage: Bacteria
Description: partial 16S ribosomal RNA
Rfam family: Bacterial small subunit ribosomal RNA
Source: RNAcentral
CAGUAGCCACGGUAAUACGAAGGGUGCAAGCGUUACUCGGAAUUACUGGGCGUAAAGCGUGCGUAGGUGGUGGUUUAAGUCCGUUGUGAAAGCCCCGGGCUCAACCUGGGAAUUGCAGUGGAUACUGGAUCACUAGAGUGUGGUAGAGGAUAGUGGAAUUUCCGGUGUAGCAGUGAAAUGCGUAGAGAUCGGAAGGAACAUCUGUGGCGAAGGCGACUAUCUGGGCCAACACUGACACUGAGGCACGAAAGCGUGGGGAGCAAACAGGAUUAGAUACCCCCGUAGUCCCUGUCUCUUAUAC